Molecule: transfer RNA, 75 nt
Filed under: Candidatus Pacearchaeota archaeon
Lineage: Archaea; Nanobdellati
Description: tRNA-Lys
Rfam family: tRNA
About the family: Transfer RNA (tRNA) molecules are approximately 80 nucleotides in length.
Source: RNAcentral
GACUCCGUAGCUCAGCCUGGUUAGAGCACUAGACUCUUAAUCUAGGUGUCGUGGGUUCAAAUCCCAUCGGGGUCA